UUUUCCUCCUGAGUUUACAUUGACAAGUUCACAAAUAACUAUCUGUGCAACUCCAGAAGGAUUACCAACAACCUGAAGUACAUAACAGCAGUUCUAGAAAUUGGGAUUUGGGAAAUGAAUCAAUUAAUUGCUUUCUAAUUGUAAAGUGUUUGAAUAAAAUUAGCCCCAGAAGUCCCUGAUGAAAUGGAAAACACAAUCACCCCUUUAUUUGUUAGGGCAUUUUGUUGCACCUUCAAAACUAUCCUGAGCUCUCGUCACU
This 259-nucleotide unclassified non-coding RNA is filed under the name Hevea brasiliensis (rubber tree). Lineage: Eukaryota; Viridiplantae; Streptophyta; Magnoliopsida; Malpighiales; Euphorbiaceae. The record is from RNAcentral.